This is a non-coding RNA of Mycena polygramma, 92 nucleotides long. The record is from the annotation of a GenBank genome assembly. Lineage: Eukaryota; Fungi; Basidiomycota; Agaricomycetes; Agaricales; Mycenaceae.
GACCUGGUGGUGUAAUGGUUACACAUCUGCUUAAAAUACCGAGUUUUCAACACGUUGUGCAGAGGUUCCUCGUUCGAAUCGAGGCUGGGUCG